CAAAAGGUGUUUUUUAACACCAUCCAAAAAAACAAAGUUUUUUAA
Molecule: non-coding RNA, 45 nt
Organism: Dictyostelium discoideum AX4
Lineage: Eukaryota; Evosea; Eumycetozoa; Dictyosteliales; Dictyosteliaceae
Source: Rfam